AGAGUUUGAUCAUGGCUCAGGAUGAACACUAGCGGCAGGCUUAAUACAUGCAAGUCGUGGGGCAGCAUGGUGUAGCAAUACACUGAUGGCGACCGGCAAACGGGUGCGGAACACGUACGCAACCUUCCUUUAACUGGAGAAUAGCCCGGCGAAAGCCGGAUUAAUACUCCGUAACAUUAUGAAGUGGCAUCACUUUAUAAUUAUAGCUCCGGCGGUUAAAGAUGGGCGUGCGUCUGAUUAGGUAGUUGGCGGGGUAACGGCCCACCAAGCCUACGAUCAGUAACUGGUGUGAGAGCACGACCAGUCACACGGGCACUGAGACACGGGCCCGACUCCUACGGGAGGCAGCAGUAAGGAAUAUUGGUCAAUGGACGCAAGUCUGAACCAGCCAUGCCGCGUGAAGGAUGAAGGUCCUCUGGAUUGUAAACUUCUUUUAUUUGGGAAGAAACCCAAGAUUUCUAUUUUGGUUGACGGUACCAGAUGAAUAAGCACCGGCUAACUCCGUGCCAGCAGCCGCGGUAAUACGGAGGGUGCAAGCGUUAUCCGGAUUCACUGGGUUUAAAGGGUGCGUAGGUGGGAUGGUAAGUCAGUGGUGAAAUCUCCAAGCUUAACUUGGAAACUGCCGUUGAUACUAUCAUUCUUGAAUCUCGUGGAGGUAAGCGGAAUAUGUCAUGUAGCGGUGAAAUGCUUAGAUAUGACAUAGAACACCGAUAGCGAAGGCAGCUUGCUACACGAGUAUUGACACUGAGGCACGAAAGCGUGGGGAUCAAACAGGAUUAGAUACCCUAGUAGUCC
Molecule: ribosomal RNA, 795 nt
Filed under: uncultured bacterium
Lineage: Bacteria
Description: bacterial SSU rRNA
Rfam family: Bacterial small subunit ribosomal RNA
Source: RNAcentral